GUGGGGAAUUUUGGACAAUGGGCGCAAGCCUGAUCCAGCAAUGCCGCGUGCAGGAAGAAGGCCUUCGGGUUGUAAACUGCUUUUGUACGGAACGAAACGGUCCUGGCUAAUAUCCGGGGCUAAUGACGGUACCGUAAGAAUAAGCACCGGCUAACUACGUGCCAGCAGCCGCGGUAAUACGUAGGGUGCGAGCGUUAAUCGGAAUUACUGGGCGUAAAGCGUGCGCAGGCGGUGCUGUAAGACAGGCGUGAAAUCCCCGGGCUCAACCUGGGGAUUGCGCGUGUGACUGCAGUGCUGGAGUGCGGCAGAGGGGGAUGGAAUUCCGCGUGUAGCAGUGAAAUGCGUAGAUAUGCGGAGGAACACCGAUGGCGAAGGCAAUCCCCUGGGCCUGCACUGACGCUCAUGCACGAAAGCGUGGGGAGCAAACAGGAUUAGAUACCCCAGUAGUCC
RNAcentral lists this ribosomal RNA (450 nucleotides) under uncultured bacterium. RNAcentral describes it as "partial 16S ribosomal RNA". It matches the Rfam family "Bacterial small subunit ribosomal RNA", at positions 354 to 796 of the family's 1533-position model. The record is from RNAcentral.